AACGUAGGGGGCGAGCGUUAUCCGGAAUUACUGGGCGUAAAGCGCGUGCAGGCGGCUUGGUAGGUUGGACGUGAAAGCUCCUGGCUUAACUGGGAGAGGUCGUUCAAAACCGCCAGGCUUGAGGACGGAAGAGGGGAGUGGAAUUCCCGGUGUAGUGGUGGAAUGCGUAGAUAUCGGGAGGAACACCUGUGGCGAAAGCGGCUCCCUAGUCCGUAUCUGACGCUCAGACGCGAAAGCGUGGGGAGCGAAC
Molecule: ribosomal RNA, 250 nt
Filed under: uncultured bacterium
Lineage: Bacteria
Also listed under: 1 other name
Description: partial 16S ribosomal RNA
Rfam family: Bacterial small subunit ribosomal RNA
Source: RNAcentral